This 400-nucleotide ribosomal RNA is filed under the name uncultured bacterium. RNAcentral's name for it is "bacterial SSU rRNA". It matches the Rfam family "Archaeal small subunit ribosomal RNA", at positions 339 to 740 of the family's 1478-position model. The record is from RNAcentral.
GCGCGAAACUUUACAAUGCUGGCAACAGCGAUAAGGGAACCUCGAGUGCCAGGUUACAAAUCUGGCUGUCGAGAUGCCUAAAAAGCAUUUCAUAGCAAGGGCAGGGCAAGACCGGUGCCAGCCGCCGCGGUAACACCGGCGGCUCGAGUGGUAACCGUUAUUAUUGGGUCUAAAGGGUCUGUAGCCGGCCGGAUAAGUCUCUUGAGAAAUCUGGCAGCUUAACUGUCAGGCUUUCAGGAGAUACUGUCUGGCUCGAGGCCGGGAGAGGUGAGAGGUACUUCGAGGGGUAGGGUGAAAUCUUGUAAUCCUUGAAGGACCACCAGUGGCGAAGGCGUCUCACCAGAACGGACCUGACGGCAAGGGACGAAAGCUAGGGGCACGAACCGGAUUAGAUACCCCA